Molecule: ribosomal RNA, 501 nt
Filed under: Achromobacter sp. ARE_As27_A
Lineage: Bacteria; Pseudomonadati; Pseudomonadota; Betaproteobacteria; Burkholderiales; Alcaligenaceae
Description: bacterial SSU rRNA
Rfam family: Bacterial small subunit ribosomal RNA
Source: RNAcentral
UUGGAAGUGCUCGCAAGAGAACUGGAACACAGGUGCUGCAUGGCUGUCGUCAGCUCGUGUCGUGAGAUGUUGGGUUAAGUCCCGCAACGAGCGCAACCCUUGUCAUUAGUUGCUACGAAAGGGCACUCUAAUGAGACUGCCGGUGACAAACCGGAGGAAGGUGGGGAUGACGUCAAGUCCUCAUGGCCCUUAUGGGUAGGGCUUCACACGUCAUACAAUGGUCGGGACAGAGGGUCGCCAACCCGCGAGGGGGAGCCAAUCCCAGAAACCCGAUCGUAGUCCGGAUCGCAGUCUGCAACUCGACUGCGUGAAGUCGGAAUCGCUAGUAAUCGCGGAUCAGCAUGUCGCGGUGAAUACGUUCCCGGGUCUUGUACACACCGCCCGUCACACCAUGGGAGUGGGUUUUACCAGAAGUAGUUAGCCUAACCGUAAGGGGGGCGAUUACCACGGUAGGAUUCAUGACUGGGGUGAAGUCGUAACAAAGUAACCGUAAGCAUCUUA